UGCAGAGGUCUCAAGCGUUGUUCGGAUUCAUUGGGCGUAAAGGGCGCGUAGGUGGCCCGGUCAGUCUUUGGUGAAAGCGCGGGGCUCAACCCUGCGUCGGCCAGGGAUACUGCCGCGGCUGGAGCACUGUAGAGGCAGGCGGAAUUCCGGGUGUAGCGGUGGAAUGCGUAGAGAUCGGGAGGAACAUCCGUGGCGAAGGCGACUACCUGGACCAGCACUGACACUGAGGCACGAAAGCGUGGGGAGCAAACAGG
This 254-nucleotide ribosomal RNA is filed under the name uncultured bacterium. RNAcentral's name for it is "partial 16S ribosomal RNA". It matches the Rfam family "Bacterial small subunit ribosomal RNA", at positions 524 to 776 of the family's 1533-position model. The record is from RNAcentral.